UACGGAGGGUGCAAGCGUUACCCGGAAUCAUUGGGCGUAAAGCGUCCGCAGGCGGUUUGUUAAGUUGGAUGUUAAAGUUUGAGGCCCAACCUCAAAAAUGUGUCCAAAACUGAUAAACUAGAGCCUCUUAGAGGUACGUGGAAUUCUGUGUGUAGGGGUAAAAUCCGUAGAUACACAGAGGAACACCAAAAGCGAAGGCAGCGUACUGGAAGAGUGCUGACGCUCAUGGACAAAAGCGUGGGGAGCAAACGGG
This 253-nucleotide ribosomal RNA is filed under the name uncultured bacterium. Its description in RNAcentral is "partial 16S ribosomal RNA". It matches the Rfam family "Bacterial small subunit ribosomal RNA", at positions 524 to 776 of the family's 1533-position model. The record is from RNAcentral.